CCUACGGGAGGCUGCAGUGAGGAAUAUUGGUCAAUGGGCGUAAGCCUGAACCAGCCAAGUCGCGUGAGGGAUGAAGGCUCUAUGGAGCGUAAACCUCUUUUAUAAGGGAAUAAAGUGCGGGACGGGUCCCGUUUUGUAUGUACCUUAUGAAUAAGGAUCGGCUAACUCCGUGCCAGCAGCCGCGGUAAUAGGGGGGAGCCGAGCGUUACCCGGAUUUAUUGGGUUUAAAGGGGCCGUAGGCGGCCUUUUAAGGCAGCGGUGAAUGUCUGUGGCUCAACCAGAGAAUUGCCGUUGAAACUGGGAGGCUUGAGUGUGUUUGCGGCGGGAGGAAUGCGUGGUGUAGCGGUGAAAUGCUUAGAUAUCACGCAGAACCCCGAUUGCGAAGGCAGCUUGCCAAGCCAUGACUGACGCUGAUGCACGAAAGCGUGGGGAUCAAACAGGAUUAGAUACCCGAGUAGUC
RNAcentral lists this ribosomal RNA (460 nucleotides) under uncultured bacterium. RNAcentral describes it as "partial 16S ribosomal RNA". It matches the Rfam family "Bacterial small subunit ribosomal RNA", at positions 338 to 795 of the family's 1533-position model. The record is from RNAcentral.